Molecule: ribosomal RNA, 253 nt
Filed under: uncultured bacterium
Lineage: Bacteria
Description: partial 16S ribosomal RNA
Rfam family: Bacterial small subunit ribosomal RNA
Source: RNAcentral
UACGGAGGGUGCGAGCGUUGUCCGGAAUCACUGGGCGUAAAGGGCGCGUAGGCGGCCUGAUAAGUAGGGGGUGAAAUCCUGCGGCUUAACCGCAGGGCUGCCUUCUAAACUGUCAGGCUGGAGCACAGUAGAGGCAGGUGGAAUUCCCGGUGUAGCGGUGGAAUGCGUAGAGAUCGGGAAGAACAUCAGUGGCGAAGGCGGCCUGCUAGGCUGUUGCUGACGCUGAGGUGCGACAGCGUGGGGAGCGAACAGG